This 300-nucleotide ribosomal RNA is filed under the name uncultured Methylobacterium sp. RNAcentral describes it as "bacterial SSU rRNA". It matches the Rfam family "Bacterial small subunit ribosomal RNA", at positions 114 to 431 of the family's 1533-position model. Lineage: Bacteria; Pseudomonadati; Pseudomonadota; Alphaproteobacteria; Hyphomicrobiales; Methylobacteriaceae. The record is from RNAcentral.
CGCGUGGGAACGUGCCUUCUGGUCCGGAAUAACCCUGGGAAACUAGGGCUAAUACCGGAUACGCCCUUUUGGGGAAAGGUUUACUGCCGGAAGAUCGGCCCGCGUCUGAUUAGCUAGUUGGUGGGGUAACGGCCUACCAAGGCGACGAUCAGUAGCUGGUCUGAGAGGAUGAUCAGCCACACUGGGACUGAGACACGGCCCAGACUCCUACGGGAGGCAGCAGUGGGGAAUAUUGGACAAUGGGCGCAAGCCUGAUCCAGCCAUGCCGCGUGAGUGAUGAAGGCCUUAGGGUUGUAAAGC